Gekko japonicus is the source of this 230-nucleotide long non-coding RNA. RefSeq lists it as uncharacterized. The record is from RefSeq and is a predicted model, not a curated record. The transcript has 3 exons. Lineage: Eukaryota; Metazoa; Chordata; Lepidosauria; Squamata; Gekkonidae.
CAUCCCAAACACACAUUUCCCUGUACUUGGAAAGUCACCCAAAGCAGCCCCAAGUGCAGGGCAAAGAGACAUCACCAAUUACAGGGAACCUAUUGACUCUGGCUGUGUCCUGGGAGGAGUAAUAAGUCCUGACGCUUCUCCUGAAAGUGUGGUUUGGAAUGGACUUCAGAUCCAGCAAUUUCUGGAUACAAGGAUGAAGUGACUUCACAGCUUAAAAAAACCCCCAAAAC